Molecule: ribosomal RNA, 468 nt
Filed under: uncultured bacterium
Lineage: Bacteria
Description: partial 16S ribosomal RNA
Rfam family: Bacterial small subunit ribosomal RNA
Source: RNAcentral
GACGAACGCUGGCGGCGUGCUUAACACAUGCAAGUCGAACGGAAAGGCCCUGCUUUUGUGGGGUGCUCGAGUGGCGAACGGGUGAGUAACACGUGAGUAACCUGCCCUUGACUUUGGGAUAACUUCAGGAAACUGGGGCUCAUACCGGAUAGGAGCUCCUGCUGCAUGGUGGGGGUUGGAAAGUUUCGGCGGUUGGGGAUGGACUCGCGGCUUAUCAGCUUGUUGGUGGGGUAGUGGCUUACCAAGGCUUUGACGGGUAGCCGGCCUGAGAGGGUGACCGGCCACAUUGGGACUGCGAUACGGCCCAGUCUCCUACGGGAGGCAGCAGUGGGGAAUAUUGCACAAUGGGCGGAAGCCUGAUGCAGCAACGCCGCGUGCGGGAUGACGGCCUUCGGGUUGUAAACCGCUUUCGCCUGUGACGAAGCGUGAGUGACGGUAAUGGGUAAAGAAGCACCGGCUAACUACGUG